GAAAUGCGAUACGUAAUGUGAAUUGCAGAAUUCAGUGAAUCAUCGAAUCUUUGAACGCACCUUGCACUCUUUGGUAUUCCGAAGAGUACGCCUGUUCGAGUAUCUUGAAACUAUCAGACCUCUGUCUUUUAUUAGGCAUUGGACUGGAUUUGGACUUUACCGUCUCUUUUUGAUAAGAACGGUUGGUCUUAAAAGCAUUAGCUGACCCUCGAUUUGUGGGAUUGGUUCUACUCGACGUGAUAAUUAUCUGACCGUCGAGGACAUUUGCUUAACUGCGAAUGGCCAGCCUCACCUUGGAUCGCUUCUAAUCGUGCUCCCCAGCACAAUUACUUUCAACUUUGAUCUCGAAUCAGGUGGGACUACCCGCUGAACUUAA
This 376-nucleotide unclassified non-coding RNA is filed under the name uncultured Sistotrema. Its description in RNAcentral is "sequence contains ITS1". The stretch from base 1 to 105 matches the Rfam family "5.8S ribosomal RNA", at positions 50 to 154 of the family's 154-position model. Lineage: Eukaryota; Fungi; Basidiomycota; Agaricomycetes; Corticiales; Corticiaceae. The record is from RNAcentral.